CUGAACCAGCCAAGUAGCGUGAAGGAUGACUGCCCUAUGGGUUGUAAACUUCUUUUAUACGGGAAUAAAGUGAGGCACGUGUGCCUUUUUGUAUGUACCGUAUGAAUAAGGAUCGGCUAACUCCGUGCCAGCAGCCGCGGUAAUACGGAGGAUCCGAGCGUUAUCUGGAUUUAUUGGGUUUAAAGGGAGCGUAGAUGGGUUGUUAAGUCAGUUGUGAAAGUUUGCGG
Molecule: ribosomal RNA, 227 nt
Filed under: uncultured Bacteroides sp.
Lineage: Bacteria; Pseudomonadati; Bacteroidota; Bacteroidia; Bacteroidales; Bacteroidaceae
Description: partial 16S ribosomal RNA
Rfam family: Bacterial small subunit ribosomal RNA
Source: RNAcentral